UUAACCUAUGUUACAUGGAAACGGAAGCGGAUACGUGGAAGCGGAAGCGUAAGGAAGCGCAGAAGCGAGAUUUUUUAAAAUAUUAGGAAGCGGCGUGAUUCCAAAACGGAAUCAUAAGCUUCCAACAGGUUUUUAAAUAGAAUAUUUUAGAAACGUUUUGGAAGCGAGAUUCCGCAAGCUUCCACGAGGUUCCGAUUCUGAUUCCGGUUCCGAAGCGGGAAGCGGACGUCCGAUGAAGCUUCCGUGCAACGUAG
This is a long non-coding RNA of Brassica napus (rape), 254 nucleotides long. RefSeq lists it as uncharacterized. The transcript has 2 exons. The record is from RefSeq and is a predicted model, not a curated record. NCBI's taxonomy places the organism in Eukaryota, Viridiplantae, Streptophyta, Magnoliopsida, Brassicales, Brassicaceae.